Long non-coding RNA from Penaeus indicus, 350 nucleotides. RefSeq lists it as uncharacterized. NCBI's taxonomy places the organism in Eukaryota, Metazoa, Arthropoda, Malacostraca, Decapoda, Penaeidae. The transcript has 3 exons. The record is from RefSeq and is a predicted model, not a curated record.
CUUAAGUCGGAUGGUGUGUGGUUGUCCCAUGGUGGUCUUGUGUGACUUCUCUGUUUCUGAUACUUCUACGUCAUUUCUUCUGCUGCACUUUGCCCUAUCUCCUUCAUCUUAAGGUCUUAAGCCUAGUGUAAAACUCUGCUUUGCUGAGGUUUGGCUGUGGUAAGCACAGUAAUAGCAGCCUCAUAGCGUGAAGUCUCCGGUGAGUGUCGGGGCAUCACAAAAGGGAAGGUCGCCAGAAAUUAUGGUGAGUCGAGAGAAUACACAGCCAGAUUUCCAUCUUCCGUGCCUAUUUUGCUCUCCAUUAUUUGAUCAGAAUGCCUUUUAUGACCUGAAAAAAAAACAGUUAUGGA